This 486-nucleotide ribosomal RNA is filed under the name uncultured bacterium. RNAcentral describes it as "partial 16S ribosomal RNA". It matches the Rfam family "Bacterial small subunit ribosomal RNA", at positions 29 to 507 of the family's 1533-position model. The record is from RNAcentral.
AUUGAACGCUGGCGGCAUGCCUUACACAUGCAAGUCGAACGGCAGCACGGGUGCUUGCACCUGGUGGCGAGUGGCGAACGGGUGAGUAAUACAUCGGAACAUGUCCUGUAGUGGGGGAUAGCCCGGCGAAAGCCGGAUUAAUACCGCAUACGAUCUACGGAUGACAGCGGGGGACCUUCGGGCCUCGCGCCAUAGGGUCGGCCGAGGGCUGAUUAGCUAGUUGGUGGGGUAAAGGCCUACCAAGGCGACGAUCAGUAGCUGGUCUGAGAGGACGACCAGCCACACUGGGACUGAGACACGGCCCAGACUCCUACGGGAGGCAGCAGUGGGGAAUUUUGGGCAAUGGGCGAAAGCCUGAUCCAGCAAUGCCGCGUGUGUGAAGAAGGCCUUCGGGUUGUAAAGCACUUUUGUCCGGGAAGAAAUCCUUGGCCCUAAUACGGUCGGGGGAUGACGGUACCGGAAGAAUAAGCACCGGCUAACUACGUG